CAACCUGCCGCUUACUCGGGGAUAGCCUUUCGAAAGAAAGAUUAAUACCCGAUGGUAUAAAGAGUUCGCAUGUUCUCUUUAUUAAAGAAUUUCGGUAAGCGAUGGGGAUGCGUUCCAUUAGAUUGUUGGCGGGGUAACGGCCCACCAAGUCUACGAUGGAUAGGGGUUCUGAGAGGAAGGUCCCCCACAUUGGAACUGAGACACGGUCCAAACUCCUACGGGAGGCAGCAGUGAGGAAUAUUGGUCAAUGGACGAGAGUCUGAACCAGCCAAGUAGCGUGAAGGAUGACUGCCCUAUGGGUUGUAAACUUCUUUUAUAAGGGAAUAAAGUGAGGGACGUGUCCCUUUUUGUAUGUACCUUAUGAAUAAGGAUCGGCUAACUCCGUGCCAGCAGCCGCGGUAAUACGGAGGAUCCAAGCGUUAUCCGGAUUUAUUGGGUUUAAAGGGAGCGUAGGUUGACAUAUAAGUCAGCUGUGAAAGUUUACGACUCAACCGUGAAAUUGCAGUUGAUACUGUAUGUCUUGAGUGUACAAGAGGUGGGCGGAAUUCGUGGUGUAGCGGUGAAAUGCUUAGAUAUCACGAAGAACUCCGAUUG
This 594-nucleotide ribosomal RNA is filed under the name uncultured Bacteroidota bacterium. Its description in RNAcentral is "bacterial SSU rRNA". It matches the Rfam family "Bacterial small subunit ribosomal RNA", at positions 122 to 715 of the family's 1533-position model. The record is from RNAcentral. Lineage: Bacteria; Pseudomonadati; Bacteroidota.